GGAUCCAGACUUUGAUCCUGGCUCAGGAUGAACGCUAGCUACAGGCCUAACACAUGCAAGUCGAGGGGAAACGGCAGCUUAGCUUGCUAAGCUGGACGUCGACCGGCGCACGGGUGAGUAACGCGUAUCCAACCUGCCCCACGGUGAGGGAUAACCCGCGGAAACGCGGCCUAAUACCUCAUGGUCUCCGAGCUUGACAUCAACCUUGGAGUAAAGAUUCAUUGCCGUGGGAUGGGGAUGCGUCUGAUUAGCUUGUUGGCGGGGCAACGGCCCACCAAGGCAACGAUCAGUAGGGGUUCUGAGAGGAAAGCCCCCCACAUUGGAACUGAGACACGGUCCAAACUCCUACGGGAGGCAGCAGUGAGGAAUAUUGGUCAAUGGGCGAGAGCCUGAACCAGCCAAGUAGCGUGCAGGAAGACGGCCCUAUGGGUUGUAAACUGCUUUUAUGCGGGGAUAAAGCGGGCGACGUGUCGCCCUUUGCAGGUACCGCAUGAAUAAGGACCGGCUAAUUCCGUGCCAGCAGCCGCGGUAAUACGGAAGGUCCGGGCGUUAUCCGGAUUUAUUGGGUUUAAAGGGAGCGCAGGCCGGGUAUUAAGCGUGUUGUGAAAUGUAGGCGCCCAACGUCUGCACCGCAGCGCGAACUGGUGCCCUUGAGUACGCACGACGUUGGCGGAAUUCGCCGUGUAGCGGUGAAAUGCUUAGAUAUGGCGAAGAACUCCGAUUGCGGAGGCAGCUGACGGGAGCGCUACUGACGCUCAUGCUCGAAAGCGCGGGUAUCGAACAGGAUUAGAUACCCUGGUAGUCCGCGCGGUA
RNAcentral lists this ribosomal RNA (813 nucleotides) under uncultured Bacteroidota bacterium. Its description in RNAcentral is "bacterial SSU rRNA". It matches the Rfam family "Bacterial small subunit ribosomal RNA", at positions 1 to 804 of the family's 1533-position model. The record is from RNAcentral. Lineage: Bacteria; Pseudomonadati; Bacteroidota.